CCUACGGUGGGCAGCAGUGAGGAAUAUUGGUCAAUGGGCGCGCGCCUGAACCAGCCAAGUCGCGUGAGGGAAGACGGUCCUCUGUAUUGUAAUCCUCUUUUGUCGGGGCGCAACAGACGCCACGCGUGGCGUUACGAGAGUACCCGAAGAAAAAGCAUCGGCUAACUCCGUGUCAGCAGCCGCGGUAAUACGGAGGAUGCGAGCGUUAACAGGAUUUGUCGGGUUAAAGGGGUGCGCAGGCGGAAGAUCAAGUCAGCGGUAAAAUGGAGAGUCGAAACCUCUUCGAGCCGUUGAAACUGGUGUUCUGGAGUGAGCGAGAAGAAUGCGGAAUGCGUGGUGUAGCGGUGAAAUGCAUAGAUAUCACGCAGAACUCCGAUUGCGAAGGCAGCAUACCGGCGCUCAACUGACGCUCAUGCACGAAAGUGUGGGUAUCGAACAGGAUUAGAUACCCGAGGAGUC
Molecule: ribosomal RNA, 459 nt
Filed under: uncultured bacterium
Lineage: Bacteria
Description: partial 16S ribosomal RNA
Rfam family: Bacterial small subunit ribosomal RNA
Source: RNAcentral